AGAGUUUGAUCCUGGCUCAGGAUGAACGCUGGCGGCGUGCUUAACACAUGCAAGUCAAGGGGGCCCAGCAAGGGCAACCGGCGAACGGGUGCGUAACACGUGAGCAACCUACCUAGGUGUGGGGGAUAGCCGGCCCAACGGCCGGGUAAUACCGCAUACGCUCUUCUUUAGGCAUUUAGAGGAGAGGAAACCUUCGGGGCACCAUGAGGGGCUCGCGGCCUAUCAGCUAGUUGGCGAGGUAAUGGCUCACCAAGGCUACGACGGGUAGCUGGUCUGAGAGGAUGGCCAGCCACAUUGGGACUGAGAAACGGCCCAGACUCCUACGGGAGGCAGCAGUGGGGAAUCUUGCGCAAUGGCCUAACGGCUGACGCAGCGACGCCGCGUGAGGGAUGACGCUCUUCGGAGUGUAAACCUCUUUUGCCUGGAACGAACCAUCAGCAUUUGCUGAUUUGACGGUACCGGGUGAAUAAGCACCGGCUAACUCCGUGCCAGCAGCCGCGGUAAUACGGGGGGUGCGAGCGUUGUCCGGAAUCACUGGGCGUAAAGGGCGCGUAGGUGGCAUGAUAAGGGUGUGGUGAAAGCCCGGGGCUCAACCCCGGGUCGGCCAUGCCGACUGUCAAGCUGGAGUACUGUAGGGGCAGGCGGAAUUCCGGGUGUAGCGGUGGAAUGCGUAGAGAUCCGGAGGAAGACCGGUGGCGAAGGCGGCCUGCUGGGCAGUUACUGACACUGAUGCGCGACAGCGUGGGGAGCAAACAGGAUUAGAUACCCUGGUAGUCCACGCCGUAAACGAUGGGUACUAGGUGCCUGGGGGAGCGACCCCUUGGGUGCCGGCGCUAACGCAGGAAGUACCCCGCCUGGGGAGUACGGCCGCAAGGCUGAAACUCAAAGGAAUUGACGG
This 898-nucleotide ribosomal RNA is filed under the name uncultured Gemmatimonadota bacterium. RNAcentral describes it as "bacterial SSU rRNA". It matches the Rfam family "Bacterial small subunit ribosomal RNA", at positions 8 to 916 of the family's 1533-position model. The record is from RNAcentral. Lineage: Bacteria; Pseudomonadati; Gemmatimonadota.